This 20043-nucleotide long non-coding RNA is filed under the name Capsicum annuum. RNAcentral describes it as "long non-coding RNA (CANN_LNC020362)". The record is from RNAcentral. Lineage: Eukaryota; Viridiplantae; Streptophyta; Magnoliopsida; Solanales; Solanaceae.
UCUGAACAUGCUGGUCUGAAAGCCUCUAAACUAUCUAAGAACUAUGGAGUUAAUGGAAAUGUCCCCAACUAUCUCCAGACUACUGAAAUAAUAAAGUAAUAAAAUAAUUAUGCUAUCCUCGAAUGGUGAGGACUCACUGCUAGUUUGGCUGCUGAACAUCUGAUCUACUAAGGAUACUCUGGAGCUUGUGCUUCUGAACCUAUGGUAUAAAACAUCAUAGCAAAAAUGCGUCAGUACUAUUGAAUGUACUGGUAUGCAAGUAAGGUAGGCUGAAUGCAAGAGGUUUAUAUGCAUGAACAAUACUAACUGACUGAAAACAUGAAUGUGAGAAUACAUGCAUGUAUACGUGAACUGUGACUGAGAUCAUAACAUCGCUAAAUUUGAAUACUGAUAACAAAAGUUUUGUAUAACAGAUAUACUAUUAUCUGAAUGACUGUGUCUGGUAGUCCUAUUUCUGAUGGAACUAACUGAGUUCCGUACUGACCUGGGUGACUAUAUCUGACAGUCCUAAAUUCUGUAGAACUAUCUGAGUUCUAUUACUUAGACCGAGACUGAGACUGUAACUAUGGGAAGUAGUCAUCUAACCGACAUGCCCCAAAUAAGUUAUUAUAGCUGAGUUGGGGUCCAAUCUUAUCCCCAAUUGGAAGGGUGUCAAUAUCGCUCCAAUGGUAAGGACAAGCUGUGGGUGACCCUCAUCUGACAGUGUCCCUAAAAGAAAAUGGUCGAACCCUCAUCUGACAGUGUUAAUCCACCCUAUCAACCCUCAUCUGUCAGUGUUGAUGUCUUAACCUAUGCUGGCUACAUAGUUUCGGAAUGCAAGGAUUACUUCUAAGGAUCACACCUUCAACUGUUAGUGUGUGCCGUCAUCCUUCGGUUCACUCGGUGCUAAUUCCUACUCCCAUCUAAAUAGACACUAAAAUAUGAUUAACUAAACUAGACUGGGUUUAGUGAGUUCUGUUGAUCGAUGGAAUACUACUGAGAUUACUGAGUUACUAAGAUUUCUGAGAUUACUGGGAUUUCUGAGUUUUCCUGAGUCAUGAGUCUGACUGAAUUCUACUGAGCAUGGCUUGACUGUGAGUUUUUUAAAAACUGACACUGGUUCUAGGCACAUAGCUAAAUUGUUGGGCACAAGUACCCCCAGGACUCGAUUGCAAUAAACUGACAAGACAUGACACUUCCUGGACUCAGACCAUAAUCAACAAUCCAUAAUACAAUUAUUGGGGAAUUUCAUGAGACACUUGAUUAUCAUGGUGUGGUACAUGAAUAGGAAUGCAUAUAAAUAUAUCAUAAUUUCAUAGGGCUAAUUUCAUGAACUAUACAUCAAACAAUUUCAAUGCAUAACAAUAACAUAGAAGUUAUUUUGAAUAUAAGGGUAAAGCAUGGGUUCAUCAAUUUGGUCAUAAUUGAGUCCUAAAGCAUGAUUCUUGUUCUCUUGGGCAUUUUAUCAAACACAUUGCAUGCAUAACCUUAGGCUUAGGCAUAUACACUGGUUCAUACAUCAUGGUUACUUUAAUCAACUCUAUUUAAGAGUUUUCAACCCACAUACUAGCAUAAUUACAUGAAAAGUACAUAAAGACUCUAACUUGGGAUUCACACAACCACAUCAACAUAAUUAAAAUCAACCCACCAUAUGGAAAUCAUAAUUCGUGGGUUUAAAAUGGGAUUCUUAAGCUUCAUGGGUGAAAGAAAUCCAUGAAUCAACACUUUACAUACCUGGGUGGAUGAUUUUUUGAAGAUUGGUGGAGGAAAUCUUGAAUUCUUGACUUGGGAUUAAACACCUAGGGUUUUUUGUUCUUGGGGAUUGAUCUUUGAGAGAAACCCUAAUUUGGUGUUGUGGAUGAAUAAAGAAGUUAUGAGCUCUGGUUUGGUAUAAUUAGGGGUUAAAACUGGUGGAAAAAGACCUAAAUACCCUUUUAAAAAUGGCUUAAAAUCACUGAACGGAAGUGGCGGUGGUUUGGACGACGGUCCGUCGUUGGCUUGACGGUCCGUCGGUCCAUCCUAUCGUACUUGGACAGAACCUGAACUUGCUGCCUCAUCAGCGAUGGUCUGUCGCUAGCUCGACGGUCCAUCGAUCCUGGCCGUUGUACUUGACUAGAAGUUGGGUUCACUGUCUUAGUCGCGAUGGCUUGGGUGAUGGUCCGUCGCUAGCUCGACGGUCCAUUGGACUGACCGUUGCUUCUGGGCAGUUCCAAUAGUUCUUUGUAAAAUGUCCAUAACUCUUUACUCCAAUACUGGAUUUGGAUGAAUUUGGUAUCGUUGGAAAGCUAAUUUAAUUUCCCACAUGAUAAAAUGUUGAAAUUGGGGAAAUUAUAUCUAAUUUAAACAUUAAUCAUUUAGGAAGUCAUCACUAACUCUUCUACAGACUAGAUUUGACUUAAAGGAAGUUUGGGGUAUUACAGGAAAACACUCUGCUCAAAAGUGUGAAAAAGCACGACCUACAACCUCUAUAUGAUUUACCAUAAACUUUACUAAAAUAAAAGCCUCUCAACAAUCGAUUACAAACUCUGUAACAUAAGGGAUUAUAAACUCUAGCCCCUUCAUCAGCUAGGAAUUAUAAACUCUAGCCCCUUCAUCAACUAGGAAUUAUAAACUCUAAUUCCUAAACUCAACAUCUAGGAAUUAUAGACUCUAAUCCCUAAACAACUUACAAAUCUGUCUAGGUUGUGAUUCCAAGUUUCCAAGUCACGCCAACUUGAAAACAAACUCCUAUUCCAAUUUAUAACACACUGGAAAUUAUGAAACCAAAUGAUUAAAACUUGAAGAACAAGCCUAAUACAUUCAAGCUAAACUCUUGCUAGAUCCUCUAUGUAUGAACCUAGUCCUUCUAGGAGUUUCUUCACCAACACCUCAAGAAUCUACUCUGACUUUUGCCUUUGCUUUGUAUGAGUGCCCAAAUGACUUUGUAGAAUCUCUUCGGUAUUUAUAGAUAUUGGUGCUUGCUUCUUCUAAGUCAGUUUGCUUUUCCUUCAAAGGAAACCCAUUCCUUUUUGGAACCCAAUUGAGGACUCAUAUUCCUUCUUGGAAAACUUUUUUGCCUUCCUUUCAUACUUUCUUUCCUUGCAUGGGUUCACCUAAUUAGGUAUUAUUUUGUAGUAAGGAAUCCAUAUAUCGAUUCAACAUCAUUAAUUCUUCAACUUGUAUUAUUCCAUGUCAUCAAAGUCAAACAAACAACUCUUCUUUACUGUAGGAUAUCUUUGUCUAGAAGGACCAUGUUUGUUGACUUAUUUCACUAUCUACUACUUUUUUCACCACUACCUUUUCUUUUUCAAAAUCAUUACACCAUCAUGUUCUAACAAAUUCACCCCUUUUUAUGAUGGCAAACAAUUGCCAUUGUGCUUCCUGUGAAUUCCAUAUCUUUAAAAUUUGAGAUAAAUCACUAAGUACAAAUAACAAGAAACACUUUGAUGGAUCAGGUUAGUCAAGGGAUAUUAACAUUUCCCAAUCCCUUCUUCCCCCUUUUGGUUUCAUAGAAAAGCUAAGCAUAUAGAUAAUAUAAAAGCCAAAGUUAUUCAUGGACACAAGGGUUAUCGCUAAGAUAAUCAAUCUUAAGAAAACCAACUAAUUUAAAGAAUUAAAAAGAGUAAGAACAUUAGCAAAGUAGGCAAAAGACAAACAUUUAAUUAAUAAGACCUAAAUAUGCACUACUGAAUACUACUAAUUAUUAAUGAAACAAUUAACUUGAGCAAAAAAAUGGAAGGCUAGAUAAGUGUAAAGAUGCUAAGGGUCUGUGUUGAAGAGGGGGUGGAACAAGUGGGAGGAGAUGUAUCAACCUUUGAACUAUUUUAAUAUUUUCAUCCCUUAUAUUCUUUAAUUCUACUUCCAACUAAGCGAUUCUAGCCUCAAGGGGUACUCUUUCAAGUACAUGAGCAUCUUGAACAACCUCCAAUUCUUUAGUCUUAGAAACCAAUGGAUUCUUUAAAUUUUGCAGUGGAGUCUCAGAUUUCUUCACUGAAUCAGGUGAAACAACAUGUUUCCAUUCUACCUAGAACAUCCUUUGUGUUUAGAGAGUUCCAACACUUGUACAUAAACUGAAUGUCCUAUAAUAUCUAAGCUACAUCUUCUGUGAUUAGAUAAAUUUGAACUCUAAAAAAUGAUCUAACCUCAACAAUUGGUAUAAAAUUUCCUAACUUUGGAAAGCUCAAACUUUCUUUGAACAUUUAUUUGUGAAUUAGGUAGACCAAUCCUAAAACUCUAAUUUUUCAAGUAUAGUUGCCAUCUCAGGACAUCAUAAUUAGUAACCAUAUAACCCCUCACUACAAGCCUCUUUUGGAAGUAAAGAAUGUGGCCCCACUUUGAAUUAGAGACACCAAAUGUGUUAAUUUGUUUAGGGUUAUCAUCUUCAGUAACUUCUGAGUCAGAUUAUCAGAGGGAAUAGAUUGACUCAUUUGUUUCUUUGAUUUGAAUCUAGAAGAGGAUUUUGUCAUGGAGAAAGUUUUGGAUUUUAUAGUAAGGGAUAAUUUAGAUACUAUUUUUGAGGGAGGUGUUGUGAUAACUCUUACAGUUCUUUGAAAAGAUGGAAAAAUUUAAGUUUUUAGCAAUUUUUUGAAUGAUUGUUUAUGAACAAGUGAGAAGAAAUAGGUACGCUCAAGUGUUUCAUUAGAUAGUAAUAACAAUAUAGUGUAAGCACAUACCUGAAGAUACAAGAUUUGAAGUGUCCAAUGCUAACUAGCCUUGCAUAUCCACUCAAUCUAAUAUAAAAAUAGGUCAAUAAUAUCAAAUAACUGGACUUGGGACACACAAUUAAAUGAGGAAGACUAAACAAACUAACCAUAUAACUUUCAUUCAUAUCAUAUUAAUGCAUUGUUAGUUCUAGCCAAUUAUGGAGAGAGAUUUCAUACAAUUUUAAUCUUUCCCAAGUAUAACCUAUUCUUUUCAUGCUUUUCCCUACUCAAUUCCUUAGUAAAAAUAUCAAAACUUUUUUUAGUGGAGCAAAACAGGAUAGAUACAUGACCCCUUUUAAAAAUUACCUCUAAGAAAACAGUGUCUCAUACCAAUUUGUUUGGUACUCUUUUACUGAAAUGAAUUCUUGGAAAUAUUGAUGGAACUUAUGUUUUCAUAAAGGAUGGGAAUACACCCUACACACAUACUAAAAUCUAACAGUUUUGCUUGAUCCAUAGAAGUUGAGCACAACAACAAAAUUAGCAGUAAAAUAUUCAACUUCAGCAGUUGACAAAGCAAUAGAAUUUUGCUUUUAGUGGACUAAUUCAUCAGACAUGGUCUAAGAAAGUGUGCCACACAUGACAUGGAUUUUCUAUCAACUAGAUAACCUGUAUAAUAAGUAUCUGAGUACCAUACAAGAUCAAAAUUACUUUCUUUGGGAUACCCUAACCCCAAAUUAAUUGUUCCUUUUAAAUGUUUUAUCAUUUUUUCACAGCUCAAAGUGAGAUUCUUUGGGCUUGGCUUGGAAUAUUGCACAAAGUCCAACCUAAAAAUUAUGCCAUAUCUACUUAAUGUAAGAUACAAUAGAGACCCAAUCAUACCUCUACAGUUUCUCCUUCACAUAUGGAUUAGGUUCAUCAUGAUUUAGUUUUGUGGCAGUGGCAAUAAGAGUAUUGAUCACCUUGGAUUCCUCUAUCUUAAGAUUUUUGAGAAAAUCUUCCAUAUAUUUCAGCUGGUGAACUUUAAAUAUUUUCCUGAAUAGAUGAAUAUGAGUCCUUAUAUGACCCAUACUCUUAUUUUGUUGUUCCCCUGUCAAUGUGCCCUUAGUCUAUUCAUCAGAAAGAUCAGUUAGUGCAACCAAUUCCAUUACAUGAUGUCUUACUUUAUUUUCAUCCUUGUUUUUUUAUUGAAUGGAGUUCUCACCUGCUCUCCCCUUACACGUGGACUGCAUGUCUUGCCAUCUUUGAACUUAUUUUUAGGAAUCCCUAUGAUUAAGUCCUUAGAGACAAUUUGUUUAACAUACUUGCGUGACCAAGUCUCUUGUGCCAUAGUAGAUAAAAUGUGAUAUCAAAGCUUGAACCUCCCAAGAUGAAAGCUUUGUACACAUUCUUGUACCUUCUAAUAGUAAGCACAACUUCCUUUUCAUCCAUCUUCUUGUAAUACCCCAUACUUUUUCCUAGCUAAUUUCAUCUCAAGAAUGUCUAGUAUUAGCCUCUAAAUUGAAUGAUGGUUAUUCCAUGAGAAAUUUUCAAGAUUUUCAAUUUUUGACAUGUGGGAAAUUCAAUAAACUUUCCAUCGAUAUAAGAUUUUCCCAAAUCCAAUAACCGGGUUAGAAGUAAUGACUAUUUUAAGUUCCCAUCAUAAAAUAGUGCCAUAUUGGCUAGUAGCAUGUCGCGCCACAAGCUAAAAUGGCUAUUGUCCUAUUCUAGUGUCUUAGCGUGAUUUCCUCCGCGUCGCGCCAAAGUUCCAAGUCGCAAAAGAAGGUUCAACGCGAUGGCUCCGCAUUGCGCCAUCUCUCAAUUUCUCAAUUGUCAAAAUCCAGCGACACGACGCGAUAGCACCGCCUCGCACCAAGUUUCCAAUUCGAGAAUUUUUUACUAAAAUUAAAUGAUGCUUCCAGGGUUAAAAGGGUCAAAUUUCCACCCCUAUUUAAGCCCUUUAACACGUGAUUCAACCAUUUUUCACAAAAAUAUACUAGUUUCUCUCAAGUUUCUCUCAAGAACAAGCUAGGGUUUUCAUAGAAGAUCCAAUUUCAAGAAGGUUUCACCAUUAAGCCUCAUGAAAGCAUGAACUAAGGUUGCAUAGUGGUCAUUCAUGGACUCCUUUCGUCCAUGAAGCCCAAGAAUCCCUUUUCUAAAUUCAAUUUUAUGGAUUUUCUUAUGAAUUUCAUGAUUGGACUACUCUUGUUCAUGUGGAUAGUGAGAAAUUAAAUUCUACUUCAUGUUGGGUGAUAAAUUCUAUGUGGGCUAAAUUAUUAUAGAUAUAGAUUCAUGCAAACCUAUGACUAAACCCUUGAAUAAUGAAAUUAGAAUUAAACCAUGAUGUUUAAUUAUUGUACAAUGAUUUUACAUGUACCAUGCCUACAAUAUGUUUGAUUAAAUGCCCAGAUAAAGGAAAAGUGCCUAACUAGCAUGAUACCAUGAAAUCCCCAUAUAUGUACAAGUUAUGCCUAUCACAUUUUUUGAUGAAAUGCUUCUAUAAAUGUAUUAUGGAUUAUAUUAGUUAUUUAUUCAAGUAAGUUAUGCUUGGUCAGUUUCCUUCCAUCGAGUCUAGGGGGUACUCAUACCUGAAACAUUAGCUGUGUGCCUAAAGCCAUAUCAUGUUUUCACGAUACUCUCAGUCAAGCUAUGAAUCCUUAGACUUCAAACAGUCUUAUGGCUAAGGAAAUCUCCAUGAUCUUAUGAACUCAGUCAGUUGUCAGCUAUCAAUAGUAUUCCAUCAGUCAACGAAAUUUAGUAACUCAACCUAUGUUCAGUUCAGUAAAUCAUGUUCAGAGUCUAUUCAGAUGAGAGUAGGAAUUAGCACCGAGUGAACCCAAGGAUAGAAACAUACACUAUCAGAUGAGAGUGUGAUUCUUAGAAGUCAUUCUUGUAUUCCAUAACUAUAUAGCCAGCAUAGGUUGAGAUAUCAAAACUGUCUAAUGAGGGUUGAUGAGAUGGAUAAGCACAGUCAGAUAAAGUCCCCAUUGUUCUUUUUUGGGGAUACUAUCAGAUGAGGGUCACUCACAGCUUGUCUUUAUCAGUGGUGCGGUAUUGAAACCCUUAUAAUUGGGGUUACAGAUUGGACCCCAACUCAGCAAUAAUGGCGUAUCAGGGGCAUGUCGGUUAGAUAACUUCUUCCCACAGUUUUAUGUUAUAGAAUUAGGACUAUCAGAUCUAGUCAACCAGUGUCAGUAAUAGAACUCAGAUAGUUCUUCAGAUUUCAGGACAGUCAAAUACAAUUAACUCAGGUCCAGUACGAAACUUGAAUAGUUUCAUCAAAUUUAGGAUUGUCAGAUAAAGUCACUCAUGUUAUCAGUUAUAUUCAGAUUCAAUAACUAUGUUAUCACAGUAUUAGUGUUAGUUGUUAUGUCUCAUGUAUAUAUUCUCACGCUCAUGAUAGUUAGAAAGUUAUUAUUUUUAUUUAUGCAUAUGAACCCCAUGCAUUCAACCUACCUCACAUGCAUACCAGUACAUUCAAAGUACUGGCGCAUUUGUGCUAUGGUGUCUUAUACCAUAGGUUCAAAGACACGAGUUCCAAAGCAACAGUAGAUUCCAGAUACCUGCAGACAGAGUUAGAAGUGAGUUCUCAUCUUUUGAGGACAUGAUUAUUUCCCUAUUAUCUCAUAAUCAGUUUAUUAGUUGGAGUUAUUUGGGGACCUGUCCCAUUAACUCCUUACUCAGUCAGUUUAGUCAGUCAGAGGCUUUCAAGAAUAUCAUAUUUCAGACUUCAAUAUGUUCAGUUUUAUUUUGGGUAUUCUAUUACCCCACACAGAUGUUUUAUCAUUCAAAUCAUGUUCAUUAUUGAACCUUUUGGCCUUUCAGUUUAUGUGUCUGCAUUAUAAAGUAUUUAUGCAGUAUAUAGGUACAAAUAUCAAUCAUGGGUUAGCUUGUGGUCCUUCAAGAUUAUGAGCACGCUGUAGCAUUUUGGGUACCAGAUUUGAGGCGUUACAAACUUGGUAUUAGAGCCUAAGGUUCAAUAGAGUCCUAGGAAGUCUGAAAGCCGAAUCUAGUAUAGUCUUGUACAUGGGUGUGUUGCGCGCCACAUUUAUGUACAGGAGGCUAUAAGAUAUUUUAGGAAUAGUUUCCAUUCUUUCAGUAUUCAUGUCAUGUCAGUGAGCAUAAUGUCAAGUCAAUCUCUCAGUUUAAUCUAUUUCCCCCUUUCUUCUACAGAAUAUGCCUUCUAAAAAAAGAAAUGAAAAUCAGUUAGCCCCUCAGCCCGAAGAUCCUUUAGGAGAUCAUGUUUUCAUGCGGAGUUCAGGGCCGUAUUUACUACUCUUGCUCAGUUAGUUGCCACUCAAAAUGAAUGGCCAAAAGUCAUUCCAACCAAUCCAUUGGCCACUUCAUCCGCAGCUAGGAUUUGGGACUUUACCCGAAUGAAUCCUUCGUUCUUCCUCGGGUCUAAGGUAGAUGAGGACCCUCAGGAAUUCAUUGAUCAGGUUUAGAAGGUGAUAGACAUCAUGGGGGUGACUACUGUAGAGAGUUUUGAGCUUGCUACAUAUUAGUUACAGGAUAUGGCUCAUACUUAGUUCAAAUAGUGGAAGUCAUAGAGGUCAGAUGAUGCAGGUCCUAUAGAGUGGGAGGAGUUUGUCACUGCAUUCUUAGACAAAUUCUUUCCCCAAGAGCUUAGAGAGGCUAAGGUGCUAGAAUUCAUCAACCUCAGGUAGGGCAAUAUGUCAGUGAAAGAUUAUUCUCUUAAGUUUAUUCAAUUAGCCAGAUAUGCCCCUAUGUGGUUGCAGACAACAGAGCCAAGAUAAGUAAGUUUGCUUCAAGGGUAAAUAAUAGCAUGGUAAUAAGUGCAGAUCUGCCAUGCUGAACAGUGACAUGACUUUAGCCAGGCUUAUGAAUCAUGUUCAGCAGAUAGAUAAGCAGAAGAUUAAGCAGAGGGAGAAGCAGAAUAAGAGGGCGAAGACAUGUAGUUUUAACUUUGCUCAACCUAAAUCAGAAGGAGAAAACUGUUCCCAGUUUUGUCCUAAGUCAUCAGUUCCAACUCUUUCUUCAGCCAGUGCUCCAGGUCCUAAGUUCAGGGAGGUUAACAGAGAUAGAGCACCAGGCUCUAGGUCUCAGGGCAUGUUAGCAAUGCCCGAACUAAUCCCCUUUGUCAAACUUAUGGUAAGAACCACAAGGGUUCUUUCAGACCUAGUAGCGAUGUCUAUUUUGGUUGUGGAAAGCUAGGCCACAGAGUUAGAGACUGCCUUCAAUCAGGUUAUCAGAGUCAUCUCCACUCCUCAGCUCAGUCUGUUGCUCAAAUCAGCAGGGUGCCACCACCAGUGCUACUAGUGGGAAACACCCAAAUCGUCUCUAUGCUCUUUAGUCCCGAAUGGAUCAGGAAAAUUCUCGUGAUAUAGUAACUUAUACAUUACAGAUUUUUCAUGUGCAUAUUUAUGCUUUGCUAGAUCUAGUAGCUUCUUUGUCUUUUAUUACUCCCUAUAUAGCAGGCGAUUUUGGAAUCAGUCCCUAAAUCCUAGCAGAGCCCUUUUCAGUCUCUACCUCAGUCGGUAAAACCAUCAUAGCCCGGUGGGUAUAUAGGAACUGCCCGAUUAUGAUAUUUCAGAAAGUCACUUCAGUAGACUUAGUCAAAUUAAUAAUGAUUGAUUUUGAUGUCACUCUCGGCAUGGAUUGGCUUCAUUCCUAUUAUGCCUCAGUCGACUACAGAAAUAGAAUUGUCCAGUUUUAGUUUCCAAAUAAGCCCGUCCUAGAGUGGAGGGUAGUACUUCAGCACUUAGGGGUCAUCUUGUUUCAUACUUAAGGGCAAUAAAAUUGAUAUCUAAGAAAUGUGUCUACCAUCUAGUUUGAGUCCAAGACUCUAGUUUAGAAACCCCUACUCUUGAGUCAGUAUUAGUAGCAUGUGAAUUCCUAGACGUAUCUACUAAAGAUCUUCUCGAAGUUCCUGCCAAAAGGGAAAUCGACUUCGGAAUAGACCUUCUUUUAGAUACUCAGCAAUUCCACCAUACAGAAUGACACCAGCAAAACUUGGCGAACUAAAAGAACAAUUGAAGGAUCUCUUAGAUAAGAGAUUCAUUAGGCCUAGCAUUUCCCCGUGGGGUGCUCCAGUAUUAUUCGUGCGCAACAAAGACGGUUCUUUUAUGAUGUGUGUAGACUACCGUCAACUCAAUAAGGUCAUGAUCAAGAACAAGUAUCCUCUUCCCAGAAUCGAUGACGUGUUUGAUCAACUUUAGGGUGACAGUUAUUUUUCUAAGAUAGACCUCAGAUCCGGCAAUCAUCAUCUCAGAGUUAGAGAAUGUGACAUUCCAAAAAAAGCUUUUCGUACUCGGUAUAGUCAUUUCAAAUUCUUAGUUAUGUCCUUCGGUAUUACCAAUGCCCCAUCAACUUUUAUGGACUUAAUGAACCGUGUGUUCAAGUAGUACUUGGACAUGUUCAUCAUAGUCUUCAUAGAUUAUAUUCUGGUCUACUCUCGCAGUAAGCGUGAUCAUGCAGACCAUCUCAGAACAGUACUUCAGACUCUCAGAGAUCAUUAGCUAUUCGCCAAAUUUAGUAAGUGCAAAUUUUGGCUAAGGUCAGUAGCAUUACUUAGUCAUAUCAUUUUUGGUGAUGGCAUUAGAGUUGAUGCUCAAAAGACCAAAGCAGUAAGAAACUAGCCUCGCCCUGUCUCUCCAUCAGAUAUCAGGAGUUUCUUAGGUUUGGCUAGCUAUUACAGGCAGUUUAUCAAGGGAUUUUCUUCUAUUGCAUCCCCUAUGUCCAGAUUGACUCAGAAGAAAGUCAAGUUUUAGUGGUCAGAUCCUUGUGAGAAGAGUUUUCAGGAGUUGAAGACUUGACUCACCUAAGCUCUAGUAUUAGCUCUUCCAGAUGGUCCAGAUAGUUUCGUAGUAUAUUGUGAUGCAUGCAGAGUAGGUUUGGAUUGUGUCCUCAUGCAGUAUGGUAAGGUCAUAGCCUACGCCUCCAGACAACUUAAGCCCCAUGAGAGAAAUUAUACUACUUAUGAUCUUGAGUUAGCAGUCAUAGUCUUUGCCUUGAAGAUUUGGAGGCAUUAUCUAUACAAUGUUCACAUAGAUGUGUUCAUUGACUAUAAAAGUCUUCAGUAUGUCUUUUCUCAAAAUGAUCUCAAUCUUCGUCAGAGAAGGUGGUUAGAGCUCUUAAAAGAUUAUGACAUGAGUGUCCUUUAUCAUCCAGGCAAGGCCAACGUAGUGGCCGACGCUCUCAUUAGACUAUCCAUGGGUAGUAUUUCUCAUGUUAAGGACUGUAAGAAGAAGUUAGCUCAGGAAGUCCAUCAUCUUGCUAGACUAGGCAUUCACUUAGUCGAUACAGAAGAGGGUGAUAUAUGGGUUCAGAGUAGUUCAGAAUUAUCUCUAGUUUCCGAGGUGAAAGAAAAGCAAGAUUUAGAUCCCAACCUUGUCAAGUUAAAAGAGUCAGUCCAGGAUCAGAAAGUAGAGGUUUUCUCCCAAGGGGGAGAUGGUGUCCUUUAUUGUUAGGGUUAUCUCUAUGUUCCAGGUGUAGAUGACUUAAGGCAGCAAAUUCUUGCAAAAGUGCAUGGUGUGCGCUACUGUACUGAUCCAGGGGCCACAAAGAUGUAUCGCAACUUGUGGGAAAUCUAUUAGUAGAGUGGGAUAAAGAGACAUUGCAGAGUUUGUGGCUAAGUGCCCUACAUGUCAGCAGGUUAAGAUAGAGCAUCAAAAGCCUAGUGGGUCCAUGCAGGAGUUCAGUAUUCCUAGUUGGAAGUGGGAAGUUGUGAACAUGGAUUCGUGAUGGGUUUGCCUUAAACUCGUCAUCAGUAUGAUUCAGUCUGGGUCAUUAUAGAUAGAAUGACCAAAUCAACUCAUUUCCUUCUAGUUCAUACCUCUUAUUCAAUCGAGGAUUAUGCCAAACUCUACCAUAAGGAGUUGGUCAAAUUGCACGAUGUUCCAUUGUCCAUUAUCUCAGACAGAGGUACCGAGUUCACCUCUCAUUUCUAGAAAGCAUUCCAAAAGGGUGUUGGUACCCAAGUUCAUCUUAGUACAACCUUUCAUCCUUAGAUAGAUAGUCAAGCAGAAAGGAACAUUCAGAUGUUAGAAGAUAUGCAAAGGGCAUGUGCAAUCGAUUUUAAGAAAAGUUGAGAUGACUACUUAUCUAUGAUUGAGUUUGCAUACAACAACAACUAUCAUUCCAGUAUUCAGAUGGCUCCAUUCGAAGCUCUCUACGGUGGGAGAUGUAGAUCUCCAAUUGGUUGGUUUGAAGUUAGUGAGACUUCAAUCAUAGGUCGUGACUUGUUAUUCGACGCCUUAAAAAAGUCCAGUUGAUUAGAGAAAGACUUCAGGCUGCUCAGAGCCGAUAGAAGUCUUAUGCAGAUGAUCGUAGAAAAGAUCUCGAGUUUGAGAUUGGUGAUCAUGUCUUUCUAAAGAUCUCUCCCAUGAAGGGAGUAAAGAGAUUCAACAAGAAGGGAAAGCUCAGUCCCCGAUAUGUUGGUGCCUUCAAGAUUCUCAGUCAUUUUGGCAAGGUAGCCUAUGAGCUUGAAUUGCCUUUAGAUCUAGCCUCAGUUCAUCCAUUCUUUCAUGUCUCUUUGCUCAAGAAGUGUAUAGGUGACCCAUCAGUUUUAGUUCCUAUUCAGAGUAUUGAUGUUCAGAACACUCUCUCUUAUGAAGAGAUUCCAAUCGAAAUCUUAGACUAUUAGACUCAUAGAUUGAGGAACAAAGAAGUCCCUCUAGUUAAGGUUCUUUGGCAAAAUCAAUCCGUCGAGGGAGCUACUUGGGAAGUAGAGGCAGAUAUACGUACUAAGUAUCCUUACCUCUUCUUCGCCAACUCAGAUCAAGCUCAAGGUAACAGUUCUCCUUAAGCUUGCUCAGUUUCAUGUUUAGUGUUCAUCACAAACUUGGUAUGCUGUUUCAUGCUCAUGUUUCCAUUAUAAACUUGGUAUCAAGUACCAUUGCAUAUUCAGUCAUGCACUCAUGUAUCAAUUUAGUUAUGUAAUUAUGCAUCAGAUAUGCAUUCUCAUUGUGAGAAACUCAGUUCUUCAAAACACACAAUCAUGCAUUCAUAAAUCAGUUACACAUGUAUCAGAUAUGCAUGUUCAUUAUAAUAUAUUCAUAUUGUCAGUCAUGUCAAUCAUGAGAUCAUGUUCUAGUUAUUCAUGUUCAGUAUGUACAUCAGUUGUCUUUUCUCCCCUCUCAGUCAGUCUUAAUCGUGGAUGAAUAUUCUCAAGGGGGAGAUAUUCUAAUACCCCGUACUUUUCCUUAGCUAAUUUAAUCUCAAGAAUGUCUUGUAUUAGCUUCUAAAUUGAAUGAUGGUUAUUUCAUGAGAAAUUUUCAAGAUUUUCACUUUUUAUCUUGUGAAAAAUUUAAUAAGCUUUCCAUCGAUAUAAGAUUCGCCCAAAUCUGAUAACUGGAUUAGAAGUUACGACAAUUUCAAGUUCCCGUCGUAAAACAACACAAUAUUGGUCAGUGGCGCACCGCACCACGAUAUGAAAUGGCAAUUGUACUUUUCCAGUGUCUCAGUGCAAUAUCCUCUGUGUCGCACUAAAGUUUUAGGUCGCAAAAGAAGGGGCAACACGAUGGCUCCGCAUCACGCCAUCCCUCAAUUUCCCAAUUAUCAAAAUAGCACUGCAUCACUCUAAGGGUCCGAUUCAGGAAAUUUUCACUAAAAUUCAAUGAUGCGUCCAGGGUUAAAAGGGUUAACUUCCCACCCUUAUUUAAGCCCUUUAACACGUGAUUCAACUAUUUUUCACCCAAAAUAUACUAGCUUCUCUCAAGAACAAGCUAGGGUUUUCAUAGAAGAUCCAAUUUCAAGAAGGUUUCACUGUCAAGCCUCACAAAAUCAUGAAUCAAGGUAUGCAUAGUGUUCAUUCAUGGACUCCUUUUGUCCACGAAGCCCAAGAAUACCUUUUCUAAAUUCAAGUUUAUGGAUUUUCUUAUGAAUUUCAUGAUUGGGCUGCUCUUGUUCAUAUGGAUAAUGAGAAAUUGAAUUCUACUCCAUGUUGGGUGAUACAUUCUAUGUGGGCUAAAUUAUUAUAGAUAUAGAUUCAUGCAAACCUAUGACUAAACCCUUGAAUAAUGAAAUUAGAAUUGAACCAUGAUGUUUAAUUAUUGUACAAUGAUUUUACAUUUACCAUGCCUACAAUAUGUUUGAUUAAAUGCCUAGAUGAAGAUAAAAUGCCUAACUAGCAUGAUACCAUGAAAUUCCCAUAUAUGUACAAGUUAUGCCUAUCACAUGUUUUGAUGAAGUGCUUCUAUAAAUGUAUUAUGGAUUAUGAUGUUAGUUAUAUAUUCAAGUAAGUUAUGCUUGGUCAGUUUCCUUUCAUCGAGUCUUGGGGGUACUCGUACCCAAAACAUUAGUUGUGUGCCUAGAGCCAUGUCAUGUUUUCACGAUGCUUUUAGUUAAGCUAUGAAUCCUUAAACUUCAGACAGUCUUAUGACUCAGGAAAUCUCCAUAAUCUCAUGAACUCAGUCAGUUGUCAGAUAUCAAUAGUAUUUCGUCAUUCAAUGAAAUUCAGUAACUCAGCCCAUGUUCAGUUCAGUAAAUCAUGUUCAGAGUCUAUUCAGAUGGGAGUAGAAAUUAUAACCGAGUGAACCCAAGGAUGGGAACACACACUAUUAGAUAAGAGUGUGAUUCUUAGAAGUCAUCCUUGCGUUCCAGAACUAUGUAGCCAGCAUAGGUUGAGACAUUAACACUGUCCGAUGAGGGUUGUCAAAUAUGAGCCCCACCAUUCUCUUUUUGGGACACUAUCAGAUGAGGGUCACUCAUAGCUUGUCCUUACCAGUGGCGCGGUAUUGACACCCUUCCAAUUGAGGUUACAGAUUGGACCCCAACUCAGCCAUAAUGGCAUAUCAGUGGCAUAUCGGUUAGAUAACUACUUCCCACAGUUUUAUGCUAUAGAAUUAGGACUGUCAGAUAUAGUCAAUCAGUCUUAGUAAUAGAACUCAUAUAGUUCUUUAGAUUUCAGGACUAUCAGAUACAAUCAACUCAGAUACAGUACAGAAAUCGAAUAGUUCCAUCAGAUUCAGGACUGUCAGGUACAGUCACUCAUGUUAUCAGUUAUAUUCAGAUUCAGUGAUCAUGUUAUCACAGUAUUAGUGUCAGUUGUUAUGUCUCAUGUAUGUAUUCUCACGCUUAUGAUAGUUAGUCAGUUAGUAUUUUUGUUCAUUCAUAUGAACUCAUGUAUUUAGCCUACCUCACAUGCAUACCAGUAUAUUCAAAGUACUGACGCAUUUGCGCUAUGGUGUCUUAUACCAUAGGUUUAGAGACACGAGCUCCAGAGCAACAGUAGAUUCCAGAUAUCUACAAACAGAGUUAGGAGUAAGUCCUCAUCUUUCGAGGAUAUAAUUAUUUCCCUAUUAUCUCAUUAAUCAGUUUAUUAGUUGGAGUUAGUUGGGUACAUAUCCCAUCAACUCCUUACUCAUACAGUUCAAUCAGUUAGAGACUUUUUGGACUAUCAUCUUUCAGACUUCAGUAUGUUCAGUUUUGUUUUGGGUAUUAUAUUACCCCACAUAGAUGUUAUAUCAUUCAGAUCAUGUUCAGUAUUGAACCUUAUGUCCUUUUAGUUCAUGUUUCCACAUUUAAAGUAUUUUAUGCAGUAUACAGGUACAGAUAUCAAUCAUGGGUUAGCUUGUGGUCUUUCGGGGUCAUGAGCAUUGUGUAGCAUUCCAGGUACUAGAUUUGGGGCGUUACACUUCUAAACCUUGCAACCUGUUGAAGUAAAGGCUACUUUGUUGCUUUAUCACAUAGUUGAGAGAUGUUCAGUAUAUUGUGUUUCAAUCCAUCUAUACUUUUCUCCAAGGCCUUGUUUUCAGUUCUUCCAAUCUUUUUAACUCCAUUAAUGGUCCUUUUUUUUAUUAAGAGUACAUCUCCUCCUACUAUGGUGAGUGAAAGGAGUUUUUGUUUGUUUCCAAUCAUAUGUCCUCAGCAAGCACUAUCUAUGUUCUAAUGUCGCUUUCCACCUUUCAUACCUGAAAAAUACUUUUGAGAUUAGAUUUAGGCACCCUAACAGGCUUGGGUCCUUAUAAAUAAAGGGGUGAAUAAAGACUCUUCUAGCCCAUGCUAUCAAUAGGUUAGUGAAGAAGUUUCUUUUGACAAGAGCAACCUUACUAUUUUCAACAAUUAUAAACUAAGUUCUUCUCACUAUAUUGAACUUCUUCUUCUCAAGAGGAGUGAACUUAUUUCUUGUGGUAGGUUUCAUAUUUUUCCUUUUGACAAACUCAAUAUUUCUCUUCAUCCCUUCAUUGCCUUUUAGGACACUCAGUGAUAAGUUGUCCUAGUUUUUCACAUAGAUAACAUAAAUUAUUUGUGUAAUACCCCGCACUUUUGGGCUAGAAUUUGAAUCAUCCUUCAUACGUGUAGAGGAUCGAACCCAAUAAUUUCUAUUUAGAUAUAAGUUUGAAGAUUAAUUCUCUAUUAUGGAAACAUUUUUGGAGAUGAAUUGAGGUCAUACAAAUCCCCUAACUCAAAGUUGAAUUGAGAAUAUUCCUAUCGAUUGAGUUUUAGUAGACGUUCUUACUUUGGUCAAACUCCAAUGACCAUUACUCCUGGAAUAUGAUAAGUUAGGUUGCUUUUUACCUAUCAAAUUAAAGGUUUUUGAGUCUUCUUUUCAACACCAUAGACCGCCCAUCAAUACUGAUAAUCUACAUAACCUAUAUGUUUAUUUAUUUUUACUUAAGAUUGUCUAUCUAUAAAAUAGGCUACCUAAAGUGUUUGAAUGAAGUAGUAAAAUUUUAAGUAAAUGAAAAAAUUGUUUUUGUCUAGGAAACACUGAUAUCACAAAGUUGUAAGAAAAUCAUGACCUGCACCUUUACAGGAUUUAAUCCCUAACUUCACUAAGACAACUUGAGCCCCAACAACAAUAUAUUACAAUACUCUUGUAACCCAGGAAUUAUAAACUCUAAGUCCUAACUAGGCUCAAUUCACAAACCUCCCAAGGUGUCUGACCCCAAGUCUUCAAGUUCCCUAACUUGAAGAAAAUAAACCUAACUCAGUUUAUAGUUCACUAAAACUAAGAGUACAUCAACAUUACAACACUGUACCCAACUCUUAAUACGUAAAGACAAAGAUCUCUUAUCUUACUUUGUACUAGAACCAGGUUCAAUAAUGUGUUCCUUUAGUCUUCUAGUAUCACACUGCCAAGUCAAUUUGUCAAUUGCCUUUUUUGCUUUGUAAGUGUGUGCUGAUUUUGUAAAGCACUUCUUUUAUUCAAGCACAACUCUCCAAAUAGUUAUACAACUCAAACUCCUUUAAUCAAACCUCUUAUUGCUUAGAGUUCUACGUCAAGUAAGACUCCUCCAAUUCAAACUCAAGCUUCUUCAAGUGUUGUAGUCAAAUUUCAACUCUUCAAUUUUGCACAUAAUUUAGUUCAUUCAGUUUAUCAGAUUGUAACUAUUAUCCAUUCCUUCAUUCAAGCACAUUUGUCUCUAUUCACUUGUGAUCAUACUGCAAGUUAAGAUCCUUGAGAUAGUUUAUCUAUUGAACCAGCUGGACUAGUUUAUUUCUCUACUCUAUGUCAAUUAUCAAAACUACAUGGAUCUAACAAAUUCCCCUUUUAUGAUGAUGUCAAACUUUUGCCUUUGUGCAUUGCUCAUAGUUCACUUUGUAAACACAUUAGUAUAGAAUAUUUGAAUAAACAUGUUAGUCAAUGGGUUUUAAAUACUGCACAACUCUUGUUUUCCCUCUUUUGGUAUCAUCAAAAAAUAUGUUUAAGACCUGAUAUUUUAUUUAAUAAGGUAGUUACACUAAUCAUGGCCACUAGGUCUAUCACAGGCACAAUCGGGCUUUAGAUAGUAUAGUAAUAUAUUAAAGAGAGUAGAAAAAAGAAUCUAGUAAGCCAAAUGAGAACCAUAUCGUUCAUCAUCAGGAUAAUGUCAUCCAAUUGACAUAAAACAAAACAAAUCAAUUAAGCAACUGAGCAUAACAAAAAAAAUAAUUGAAGGACAUGGCUCAAGGAUAGGAGGACUAGGAAUGGAAGAAAAAAGAAGAUAGCAAUAACUGAGUGACGUGAUGAAUUGUAGCAAAAUUUUUAGGCUUUUCUGUAUCCAAAUCAGUCUGCAGAGCUACAAUCAUGGCUUCAAGAACCUCCUUUUCCCUUUGAUGAGUGGAUUGAGCAGCAUACAACUCAACAAUCUUCUCUACAAAAGUAUUCUCUGCCUUUUGUAAAAGAGUGUUGGCACGCUUCAUAGAAUCAGGUAAGGUAGCAUGGUUCACCCUUCCAGACACAUCCAUAGUCAUCUGAAACCCAAACAAAAACUAGAAGCCCAUAGUCCUAAAAAAUUGAAGCCAACAAGAACCCAUAGGCAAGGAAAUGACCAUUUUCAUCCUAAUUAGGGAUCCUAGUCAUAUGUUUGAUGAUCAAGCAUAGAAAGUCAAUUCAGACUUUAGUGUCUAGGAGUUCAAUCAAGGUCAGAUCCAAGUAAUUAGCCUUAGUUCUUUGCUUCUUCCUCUAAAUAAGAAUCCGAUGAACAACAUCAAAAUAAAGUUAAUGCAGCAGAGACAUCUUACAUUCUCAACUUAGCGGUGGUGAGUAAGAUUGGGCUGACCAAAAAACUUCUUGGUAAUGUCAAAAGCUGAAUCCAUGUUGGUCAACGGAGGCCAUUCAUACUUGAUAUAAUGACUCUAACCACUAGAAGGCACAUCUAAAAUCCUUACAACAUCAACAAUAGUGAUAUGAAUUGGAACACCAUUCACAUAUGAAGUAAAGAUAACCCCACCAAUUUUACCAUUAAUGUAAAACUCCAUAACCUCUUUUUUGCCAACUUACGCUAAACAGUACCCUGAAGAAGAAGAGAGCACCAACCUUGUGCUGCACUUUUGGUAAAAGAGGUAGUUAUGUCAAGCCUCCAAAACCAAUCAUGACUCCGCCACACACCAUAGAUUACUCUUAAAACUUGAUGAUAUGGUUAAGAGUGGGAUCAAUAGCUUCUUCUAUAGAAAUUGGAAACAACAGGAGGUCUAAGGCAGAGGGAGCAGGUCAAGAGAUCUAUUUCUUUGGUGCAAAAAAUGUGACUUUAGAGGAUUUUACAAAUUUUGAAAACUUGGAUUUCAAGGAUAAAGGAAGAGAGAAUUUAACAAACUUAGGCUUAGGUCUGGUAACGUUUUUUCCUUUGUGAACUCUGCUUAUAACAAAAUCAUCAUUUGAAGAAGGGGAAAAAAUAGAUGGAUUAGGAAUAUAGGAGCAAGGGCAAGAUUUCUUACUAGCUUAACUAUCUAUGUUGAGAGCUUCUUCCUUCUGUCUAUGCUUAUUUGGUAUGAGCAGGUGUUACGGAUGCUUCAACAGGGACUCAGUCUCGGGAAUUAUAUAACAUUGGCUUUUUACAAUCUGGAACAAUUCCUAUGAGGUACCAAAUUGGAAAUAGGAAUGUCAUCUAUAUCCAGAACAGAAAGAGGAACAGGUGGAUGAAUGGGUUCCAUAUGAGGCAUUAAUUUUGGAAAUUUCGAAGAGAUAGUCUAAGUCCAUUGAGUUAACUUGGUCCAACUCUAAAAACCUUGAGGGAGGAUGCCAAACAGAGGACUUUCAGUUGGAGAAUUUCUAGAUCCUCCCCCCUCACUAGGUGNNNNN